UACGUAGGGCGCAAGCGUUGUCCGGAAUUAUUGGGCGUAAAGAGCUCGUAGGCGGUCUGUCGCGUCGAUCGUGAAAACUUGGGGCUUAACCCUGAGCUUGCGGUCGAUACGGCAUCACUGGAGUUCGGCAGGGGAGACUGGAAUUCCUGGUGUAGCGGUGAAAUGCGCAGAUAUCAGGAGGAACACCGGUGGCGAAGGCGGGUCUCUGGCCCGGUACUGACGCUGAGGUGCGAAAGCGUGGGGAGCAAACAGG
This 253-nucleotide ribosomal RNA is filed under the name uncultured bacterium. RNAcentral's name for it is "partial 16S ribosomal RNA". It matches the Rfam family "Bacterial small subunit ribosomal RNA", at positions 524 to 776 of the family's 1533-position model. The record is from RNAcentral.